CAUAUAUUUACAUAUAUUAUACAUAUAUAUACAUAUACAUAUAUAUAUUUUUUCCUGUUAAGAAUUGACUUGUGGACUAUGGAAACUAAAUGGACCCAAAAUCAGCAAUCUGGUGAUCCAGGGAAGCUGAUGAUUUGGUUCCAGUUCAAGUCCAGAGCCUUGAGAACCAGACCAUGCAUUUCAAUGGAAAUAUGGAGAAAAAAGUGCAUCCUGUGGUUCAGUGAUACUUAUGUAAUUACUGGAGGAACAGAUGGCCAAUCCAUAGUACACAGAUUCCACAAAAAUUUAGAAGCAAUGUGUCCAUACACACAGCUGAUGACAAGUUACUACCACAGGAAUUAUUAUGCUGCCAACUGGGAACUCAAGAGCUAAAAUGAAGAAUUUUUAAAUUCCCUAUGGAGGUUUGGCUAAGAGCACCAGUGAUGAUUCACCAAGACAAUUCACAGAAGGUAACUGUAUAUGAGUUUAUACAGUCACACACCACACACUGACAUUUUGCUCAAUGAUGUGACAGUGACCCAUAGAUUACAUCACCUACUUACAUCUUAAAGUUGACUCUCUGUUGUCUACACAGUGAAGAAAUCACCUACUGAUGCAUUCUCUCAGAAAAUAUCUCCAUCAUUGAAUGACAC
RNAcentral lists this long non-coding RNA (632 nucleotides) under Heterocephalus glaber (naked mole-rat). RNAcentral describes it as "lncRNA (ENSHGLG00000045479.1)". Lineage: Eukaryota; Metazoa; Chordata; Mammalia; Rodentia; Bathyergidae. The record is from RNAcentral.